Molecule: long non-coding RNA, 12307 nt
Filed under: Lynx pardinus (Iberian lynx)
Lineage: Eukaryota; Metazoa; Chordata; Mammalia; Carnivora; Felidae
Source: RNAcentral
ACUGUAUAUGCUUCAGGCCCCAGAGACCUUGGAUCCUGUCCCUGGGUGUGAUAGACAAGGUGGGUCAAGGAUGACUCUAAGUUUGGGGGCUUGAGUAACUGGUAAAUAUAUCGAAGUUGUUCUGUAUUGAAGUUUUCCUUUGUUAUUUCUUUAGGACUUAAUCACCUUUAGGACUUCCUCAGUGAUUCCUCCACGUGGACCCCUAGGAGCUGAAGCGUUUGCAUUAUAGAAUGGGGACUUCGCAAAGGUAUUUCAGUUGUCUCUGUUCAAGGAAAUUGCUUGACCAAAUGUUCUCUAACUACUGGCGUACUUUGAAUUUAAUACACAUCAGGGUGUUCCGUGCGCGUCCAGUGGAACCGGAUUUCUACCAAAAUGAUUUCAGCUGCCUUUUCUGGAAUGUUUUCAGCACCACCCCCUACCACUCGCACUGAAAGCUCUUUGCAGAACUUGAGGUUUGAAUCUGGGCGCUGGAUAGUUCAAGUUUGACAAUAAUUGCGUUAAGAGGGUUGGAGGCAAACGGAAAAUUUUAAUUACAGCCUUCAGUACGUUUAUUCUUUUUCCUCUGAAGACUGAGGUCCACCCACUUUGUUAUAUCCAAUGGUUAAAUCCCAAUUUGAAAGUCCAUUUAAAUCAUAAAAGCAGAGCUAUUCAACGUCUUUUAUUAAAAUUAGGCUUAAAAUUAGAGAGUCAACUAGAUGGGUAGGUGGAAUAAGCAUGAUUCCCAGAAAUGUCAUUUUCUUUUUCCUCUGAUGGCUUUUCAGAAGAAACAUUAGGCAUAUUCCAGAAGCACUGAUACUCAGACUGCGAAACCCACACAAAUAUAAACACAUUUAUGCACGCACAAGCACUAGCAUACUCUGCUUGAAAGGUGCCUUGGAGAAAGAAAUGAGGAUAAAUGAAUUGGAAUGUGGAGGCUAGUUUGACAUGAACAUUGUGACCAUCCCUCACAACGCCUGAAUGGAUGGAUGUGAAGACAAUUGGCGAGGGCUUGCUUCCCCCAUUGAUUACAAGGUUUAUUUCGCCAAAUCUGGCUGACUUGAUUGCUUCUCUGAAAAAAGCUAUGGAUUCUUUUAAAGAGCAUCUCUCUCUCUCUCUCUCUCUCUCUCUUUCUUUCUUUUUUUUUUUUUUUUUUNNNNNNNNNNNNNNNNNNNNNNNNNAAAAAAAAAAAAAAAAAAAAAAAAAAAAAAAAGAAAGGCGGAAAAAUGUAAUUGGCUCUAAUAUCACUUUGAGGUCUUCUGAGGGCAAAUGCUCUAGCUUUAGGACAGGGUGGUUCUGUGUAAGUCAGGCGCAGGGUGAGGCAUUGUCAUUUGGGACCCGUGAGCUAAACUGGACAAAGGAACUCACCCCUGCAGCCCUAGAAGCACUUUUUUUUUUUUCAUAGACCCUAGAAACUCACAUUGCUAUCUACUCUCUGCCGCCCAAAUGAUUUAUCUGGUGAGCAUCUUUGGGUCUGUUCUUGGGUCUGCCGCGGGCCGUGGUAGGUCCACUUUCUCUGAUGACUGGGAGAUGAUGGUCACUUCUCCAAUGCUAGUCAUACCCUCACCCCCAUUGCCGUGAGAUGGGUGCUCGGUAAGCGCUUUCACCCUCUUCGCAAACACAGCAAAAAGCUUUUAGUUUUGCUUCUGGAAUGCUCUUUGCUGCAGACAUCUAAAUGUGCUUCAAGUUCACCUCUGAAAGAAGUUGAUGACAUGAGCAACUCGAAGUCAUUAUUAGCUUGAUGACAGUUGGAUCAAUAUUCAAUGCGAGAAGCGAGGAACACCACUUGAAUUUUCAAAACUGUAUUCACGUAACGUAUCUUAAAAAGUUCCUCUAUGUGUUGAAAAUCUAUCUUCAGGGGCGCCUGGGUGGCUCGGUCGGUUAAGCGUCCGACUUCGGCUCAGGUCGUGAUCUCGCGGUCCGUGAGUUCGAGCCCCACGUCGGGCUCUGUGCUGACAGCUCAGAGCCUGGAGCCUGUUUCAGAUUCUGUGUCUCCCUCUCUCUCUGCCCCUCCCCUGUUCAUGCUCUGCCUCUCUCUGUCUCAAAAAUAAAUAAACGUUAAAAAAAAAAAAAAAAGAAAAUCUAUCUUCAUUAAACUCUGUAGAACAAGAGGUGAUAAAAACUAAGAAGCAAUGUGGAAAAAUUAUAAUGUAAGCUUAAGGUACAAUAAUUAAACUGUAUAUGCCGUAAUAUACUUAUAACUAUAUAAAAUUAUAUUUUGCAUGGAAAAUGUAGAGGAACAUUCAAAAUGGAAAUUUGUAACCUUCUUCAAAAGAAAACUACUUGGUUGCUGAGAUUCCUGGACCAUGUAGGAAAGCAGAAAGUUAAAUGCCUAAAUUUGACCUUUAUUUAGGAUAAGAGUGAAGUUUCAUUCUGAAGCCCCUUGGUAACUGUGACAUUGUGACUAUGUUGUUUAGAUGACUGUCAUAGCAGAUUUUUCUUCCUGUUACUUCAUGGUCAGUUAAGAAACAAACAUUUGAUCCAGAAAUUUUAUUUAAUACCAGACAGAUUCUCCAUGGUCACUAGCUGUAGUGUAACAAUAAUAAUUACUAUUCAUGGCCUGUGCCUGGCACUAAGCUAAAUCAGCUUGUCUGAUUUAUAUAUAUAUAUAUAUAUAUAUAUAUAUAUAUGUAUAUAUAUGUAUAUACAUAUACGUAUAUAUGUAUAUAUAUACGUAUAUGUAUGUAUGUAUAUACAUAUAUGUGUAUAUAUAUAUAUAUAUAUAUAUAUAUAUGAUUUUGUAGGCCAUGUGGUCUCUCUUGCAACCACUCAAGUCUGUGAUUGUAGGAGGAAAAUAGCAACAGACAAUAUGCAAACAAAUGAGUGUGGCUGUAUUCCAAUGAAACUUUAUUUGUAGACAUGAAAUUUGAAUUUCAUGUAAUUUUCAUAUAUCAUGAAGUAUUCUUUUUGAUUUUUUUUUCAAUCAUUUAAAAAUGUAGAAAACAUUAUUUUAAAAUUUUAUUUUUGAGCAAUCUCUACACCCAACAUGGGGCUCCAACUUACAAACUCGAGAUCAAGAGUUGCGUGCUCUGCUGACUAAGCCAGCCAGGCACCCCUAAACAUGCAGAAAACAUUCUCAACUUGAAGCCCGUACAAAAACAGGUCAUGUGUCGGACUUGGCCUACAAUUCCUGGUCUAAACCAUGACUGUCACUUUUUGAAGUGAGUGGAAAGGCUAGGGGGGCCUCCAGGAGAGGGGUCAUGGUAACAAGGGAGACAUCAGUGUAGGACCUUCGCAGCAGAAGUUUGCUGUGUAAGAGUUUGAGAGAAGCUCCUGGAAGAGAAGUUGUUGAAAGAGAGGGACUCCAAAUAGUUAGAGGAUGGGGCACUUCUAAAAAUAGUAUCUGUUUGAGGGAAUUGUCUCCUGGCCUAACCCCUCUGAACUCUAUUCUGAAUAAUAGAAGCUAUAAAUAAAAAACAUAUCUCAACCUCUGGAAGACAGUGGCACACCAGCAACUGUUUUGGCACCCACCAAACAAGUAGACUUCUUUUUUUUAAAUGUUUAUUUUUGAGAGAGCGAGAGCACGCACGUGCACAAGCAAGGGAGGGGCAGAAAGAGACGGAGACACAGAACCUGAAGCAGGCUCCAAGCCGGCAGCACAGAGCCUGACACGGGGCUUGAACUCAUGAACCGUGAGAUCACGACCUACGCCAAAGUCGCACCCUUAAUUGACUGAGUCACCCAGGCGCCCCUGAACAAGUAGGCUUGUAAAGAUGGAGGGGGGAGGCAUAUUUAUGGCAGCAUUAUUUACAACAGUCAACAUAUGGAAACGACUGAGUGUCCAUCCGCAGAUGAAUGGAUAAAGAAGAUGUGGGAUGUACAUACAAUAGAACAUUAUUCAGCCGUGAGAAAGACAGACAUUUGCUAUAGCAUGGGUGGACCUUGAGGGCUUUAUGCUAAGUGACAUAAAUACUGUGUGAUCUCAGCUAUAUGUGGAAUCUAAAAAAAAGCCAAACUCCUAGAGAGGAUAAUGGCGGUUGCCAGGAUCUGGGGGGUGUGGGAAGUAAGGAGAUGUUGGUCAAAGAGUACAAAUGUCCAGUUCUAACACGAAUAAGUUCCGAGAAUCUAAUACACAGUAUGGUGAUUAUAGCUAACGAUAGUGUAUUAGAUACUUGAAAGUUGCGAAGGGAGUGGAUCUUAAAUGUUCUUACCUGAACUAUAUAGGAAAGUAAUCUGAUAAUCAUGUGAUGUGAUCAAGGUGGUAGCUAUGGUUGUGGGGGUGAUUAUUUUGUAGUAUAUAUGUGUAUCAAAUCAAGAUGUUGUGCACAAACUUACGCGAUGUUACACGUUAAUUAUAUCUCAGUAAAAGUGAGGAAGGAAAGAGUGGAGGGAGGCAUUCUCAUGGGUAUCCGAGUGGAAAUGGUAGUGGGAGUUCUGAGAUCAUGGUGCCCAAAAGGAGAUAUGACAACUGCUGUGAAAAAAGUUUGCAUGGCCAGGUAGAUACCAAUGACACCACCUGGCAAAGGUCAGAGCUGAAGUGAAAGGAAUAUGGGCAGAUUAGUGUGAAUUCUGAGAUACAGACUCCAGACUUCUCCAGAAAUACUUGGAGGGGGACUUGGCAGGGAAAUGAAGGUGUUGAAACUGUAGAACCAGCGACAGAUUGGAAUUGUUUUAGUUGUGCUGAAAUAUGGUGACAUAUAAAAUUGCAUACACGUAAGGCGUACAGUGUGAUGGGUUUGAUACACCAAUAUAUUCAGAGGUAAUGACCACAGUAAGGUCCACCUCCGUUAUUUCACAUGAUUAAGAUUUUCGUGUGUGUGGUAAAAACAGUUAAGAUUUAUGAACCUUCCGGGGGCGCCUGGGUGGCUCAGUCGGUUAAGCGGCUGACUUCGGCUCAGGUCAUGAUCUCACAGUCCGUGAGUUCAAGACGCGUGUCGGGCUCUGUGCUGACAGCUCGGAGCCUGGAACCUGCUUCGGAUUCUGUGUCUCCCUCUCUCUCUGCCCCUUCCCUGCUCAUGCUCUGUGUCUCUUAAUCUCAAAAAUGAAUAACUGUUAAAAAAGAUUUACAAACCUUCGGGGCACCUGCGUGGCUCAGUCGGUUAAACGUCGGACUUCGGUUCAGGUCACGAUCUCUUGGUUUGAGCCCCGUGUGAGGCUCUAUGCUGACAGCUCAGCGCCUGGAAGCUGCUUUGGAUUCUAGUCUCCCACUCUGUCUGUCUCUUUCGAAAAAAAAAAAAAAUUAAAAUUAAAAAAAAAGAUUUAUAAACUUUCAAGAACAUAAUACAGCAUCAUUAAUCACCGUGCUGUGCUUAUAGGUUCCUAGAACCUAUCCACCUUAUAACUGUAAGUUUGCACCCUUUGAACAACAUCUCAUUUUCCCCUCCCUCCUAGACCCUAGUGACCACCAAUCUACUCUAUUUCUGUAGAAAUAUAGUUUGACUUUUUAUUUUUAUUUAUUUUUAUUUAAAAAAAAAUUUUUUUUUCAACGUUUUUAUUUAUUUUUGGGACAGAGAGAGACAGAGCAUGAACAGGGGAGGGGCAGAGAGAGAGGGAGACACAGAAUCGGAAGCAGGCUCCAGGCUCCGGGCCAUCAGCCCAGAGCCCGACGCGGGGCUCGAACUCACGGACCGCGAGAUCGUGACCUGGCUGAAGUCGGACGCUUAACCGACUGCGCCACCCAGGCGCCCCUAUAGUUUGACUUUUUAAAAAUACCACAUAUAAGUGAAAUCAUAUAGUGUUUGUCUUUCCUGAUUCAUUUCACUUAGCAUAAUGCUAGGUGAAUGCCCUCAAGUUUCAUCCACGUUCUUGCAAAUGGCAGAAUGUCCUUCUAUUUCCAUGGCUGAAUGAUAUUCCACUGUACAUAAAUACACUCCAUUUUCUUUUUCCAUCUAUUCAUUGACAGGCUUCUUCCAUGUCUUGACUAUUGUGAAUAAUACUGCAGUGAACAUGGGAGUACAGAUAUCUCUUCAAUAUCCUGUUCUCCUAUCCUUCGGAUAUAUAGAUAAGCAACAUUCUGAAAUGCUUUCGUGUUCCUCAGCUCGUUAAAAUUGAGACAGCUAUUUGCUGCCUUUAAUGGUCCUUGGACUCAGAAUUCAUGUGUUUGAAUGUCAGUCUUUUUAGUCUUCGGAGAACCUACAAGUUAGCAUAGAGUUGUUAUCGCCACAAUAAAAGUGACUCAAAGUUUUAAGGAUGGUUCAUUGGAUAGCAAGAUUUUAAAUUUGGAUAUUUGAAAGCUAUCCUUUGACUCAAGCAAAUGUGUGAUUGCACAGCCCAUAAACGAUAGCUUAACCAACCUUCAGCCUUAAAACGUAGACAGUGUUUUAAAGUAACAGCCUUCAGGCUCAGCAGCUGGCUUCACCCCUAGAUCAUUUGGCCUUGCAUUUGGAUAAGACUCCUGAGCUCACAUCUUUCAAGAUGAGGAAGUAUCUCAACAUACUUUGCAACAGUCACCUGGCUCAGCUGCUUCAGGAGGACGGUGCCUGGGGGUUUUUACUCACAUAGUUUCUUAGUCAAGUUCCUGUGACCUAAUGUUCUUAUUUAUUUAAACAAGCCUUUCCCUCCCAUAAAAUUCUGCCUCAGGGUUUGUUUCUCCGAACCACUCAUACCACUUACCCAAAAAAGUCUUUUAGGAGGAGAAGUCAACUCACUUACGUUCUUUGUGAAGGUGAACUCCAUUUAGAAAUGAUCUGACUGUCGGGGCGCCUGGGUGGCGCAGUCGGUUAAGCGUCCGACUUCAGCCAGGUUACGAUCUCGCGGUCUGUGAGUUCGAGCCCCGCGUCAGGCUCUGGGCUGAUGGCUUGGAGCCUGGAGCCUGUUUCCGAUUCUGUGUCUCCCUCUCUCUCUGCCCCUCCCCUGUUCAUGCUCUGUCUCUCUCUGUCCCAAAAAUAAAUAAAAAACGUUGAAAAAAAAUUUAAAAAAAAAAAGAAAUGAUCUGACUGUUAAUGUUCGUCCUUGUUCACUGGGCUUGGCCCACACUUUCAAGUGCCAGGCAAGCGCUGGCCCCGGGGAGUUGUGUUUUGAUAUCUCCCGUGAUUUGCCAAAAAGGCCUCUCUUGACUUCAGUCUUCCUAUUUGUAAAACUGUUGUUGCAGUUCAUUGUCUGGGUACAAAUGUUAGAAUUCUUCGGAGAAGGAUGUUAUCUGAAGACAGGAAACUACUGUUCACGGAGAAUGUGAACAACAGGAAAAUUCCACCGGCCAUGGAUUUUACUUAAUGUUCUGUAAGCUGUUUGAAGUGGAAGCAUCCCAGUAAAAUGAAGAGACCUGUAGCAGAUCCAGCCAAGAAGAAGGGUAAAAUGGAAAUAUGCACAAUGAGGAAUACAAAAGGACGUAGGACCACAGAGUUAGGGAAACCAAUUUACGUGAGAUUAUGCUGUGUGGUUCUCGCUUCAUAAAAUGUAAAAAUCACAAUGAAAGACGGAAUUCAAUGUAAAUGACCAACACUGAGUCAAGAAGUAGACAGCCUCAGGUGUCCAAAUAGCAGAGAAGACGCAGAAAAUGUGGUGAAAAUAGUACAUCUAAAAAACAUGGCAGGCUUAGAUAUAAAGGCAAAUACUUUUGUGUAUUCCAAGAGGAGAUCAGCUGAGAAUUUACUGUAAACUGUUCCGUAGGAAAAGAUGGGAUGCUUCCUCAUGUCUUCUUUUGAAACAACAUAACCCUGGCAGAAAAGCCUGUUAAAAUGUGGGAGGAAAAAAAAUGCAAAUUGAUAUUUGUGCAGAUGCAAUACAAAUACAGCUGGAAAUAGAGAUCCAAAAUGAAAUAUUAGUGCAUUUCGUCAAACACUCCGUGUAAAGAACAAUACAAAAUGACUUCAGUUUUAUUCUCAAAAUAGAAGAGUAGUUAGGUAAUAGGAAAUUAACAGCAGAAUUCAUCUCAUCAAAAGGCCUCUCAGGGCGCCUCGGUGGCUCAGUUGGUUAAGUGACUGACUUUGGCUCAGGUCAUGAUCUUAUGGUUUGUGAGCUCAAGUGUCACAUCCACGGAGCCAGCUUGGGAUCCUCCGCCCCGCCUCCCCCGCCCUCUGCAUGCUCUGUCUCUCACGCUUCUCAAAAUAAAUAAACUUUUUUUAAAAUGUAAAAAAAAAAAAGUCUCAGAGAAAAACCAAACGAUCAUCUGGAUAGAUACUCAAAAGGCAUUGGAUUAAAAUUAACAUCCAUUCUUUUUUUUUAACGUUUAUUUAUUUUUGAGACAGAGAGCAUGAAUGGGGGAGGGUCAGAGAGAGAGGGAGACACAGAAUCUGAGACAGGCUCCAGGCUCUGAGCUGUCAGCACAGAGCCCGACACGGGGCUCAAUCCCACGGACCUCGAGAUCAUUACCUGAGCCGAAGUCUGCUGCUUAACCGACUGAGCCACCCAGGCGCCCCUUAACAUUCAUUCUUGAUCCAAACUCUUAGUAAACUAAGAAUGACAUAACGUCCUCAACUUGAUGCAGUGUAUCUUGGAAACAAGCAGACAGCAUCACACUUAAGGGCUAAAUGUCACAUAUCUCCACUCACCAGAAAUAAGAAGCGAAGUCCUGUAACACCACUGUUAGAGCAGAAUUCAGGAUUGCUCUAUCCAGCACGAGAAAGUGGGAGACAUGAUUUGGAGACCAAAUUGUUAUUGUUUGCUGAUUAUAUAAACUGGCUCACGGAAUCAACAAUGAGUAUUUUCAUGCCGGAAUUUCAUCGUAUCAUCUAGUUAACCCUUUUCUCUUGUUUUGAUAUAUACAUAAGGGGACUUCACAGGCCAAAGAAACCCACUGGCCUCUUUCACCAAAUUUACCACCACGCGGUAACACGUGAUAUUUCAGUUUCUGCAACGUUCAGUUCCCUCCCCCGCCCCAGACUUCCCCAUCUUUACACACAGAAAAGAAUUUAGUUUCAAAAUUAUUUCACUUGCCACAGAGAAGCUUAAACAGGUCAGCCCGAUUGCCUUUGUUUUGUCAGUAGUGUGCCCUCUUAGGUAGAAUGGGCCUCUGGGUGGGCUGUAGGAUGUCAUUCUGAAUUCUCCUGCAAGGCUCUUGCGGCUGCUUCCCGAAGAGGCAUUAGCGGGACCCUCCGAGUUCACCUCCCCGGCCAGUGUGAACUUCCAGCCCUGCCCCUGUUGUUGAUCUCACAAACCACCCUUUGUGCUCAGACCACAGAACUCUAGUUGCAAACAAGACUUUGGGGUGUGGUUGCACAAAGACGUUUUGCACUGAGCCCGUGUUUGCCUAAAGUUGGCUCUGAGUGAGCCUCCUUACCCUUAGGGACUGAGUUAACUCUUAGGGAAUCUCUAAACCCUGUGAUGCAAGAGAGCCCUGAACCUUCUCAGCUGGGUGAGAGAAUCACCUGCACUUAGUUGCGAUGGCAACAGCAUAGGAAAUAAAAUUCACGAAUAACACGAAUCGAAUUGGAAAAUAUAAUUAUCAUCACGGCUGAAUUAACCAUGAGGAUAUCCAUCAAGCAAUUUAGGAAUGAUUUCAGAAGCAUUGGUAGUUUUCUUCUUGCCAUGCUCAAAGUCUUUUCUUCAAACAUUCCUUCUGAUAAAAACAUCCUAUGAUAUCCUAGAAAAAAGGGGCUUGAAACUCUCUUGGGUUUAAAGAUGUCCACAGAUGUAAAAUAUUUUUGUUUCAAUGCCCAACGUAGAAUAAUACAGUCAAGUUUAGGGAAUGCAUUAGAAAGAGGGCAAAACUUCAAAAUAAAAUUUCGUGAAAUCAGCCCAUGACAAUUUGUGUCUGCAUUUUAAAAUAGAAAUACAGUAAAAACCUUGGUUCGUGAGCAUAAUUUGUUCCAGAAACACUAAUCCAAAGCACUUGUAUGUCAAAGCAAAUUUCAAGAACCAUUGGCUCAGUUGGGAUCACAUGACGUUCACCAUCACGUGCCACUCGUAUUGCAAGACAUCGUUUGUUUAUCAAGUUAAAAUUUAUCAGAAAUGUUUGCUCAUCUUGCAGAACUCGUAUUGCAAGACAUCACUCGUUCAUCAAGUUAAAAUUUAUUAGAAAUGUUUGCUCGUCUUGCAGAACUUGUAUUGCAAGACAUCACUCGUUCAUCAAGUUAAAAUUUAUCAGAAAUGUUUGCUCAUCUUGCAGAACACUUGCAGACCAAGUUACUUGCAACCCAAGGUUUCGGUGUAAUUUACUAUGCUAUGCUACCGAAAAUAGCCGAUGAAACUAGGAAGGCAUAACACAAAAGAUCAAGGGGAAGGGGUGCCUGGGUGGCUCAGUUGAGCAUCUGACUCUUGGUUUCAGCCCAGGUCAUGAUUUCACAGUUUGUGAGUUUGAGCCCUGCAUCGGGAUCUGCAUGGACAGUGUGGAUGGAGCCUGCUUGGCAUAUCUCUCUCCCUCUUUCUCCCUGCCCUUCCCUGGCUUGCUCUCUCUCCCUCUCUGUCAAAAUGGAAAUAAAUAAACAUUAAAAAAGAAAAACUUAAAAAAAAAGAUCAAGGGGAAAAUACGGCUUGCUAUUCCUGGAAAAGAAAGCUGAGCGGGAACGCAGUAAAAAAAAAAAAAAAAAUUCAAAUCAGGGGCAACCUAGUGCUACAUAGAUAUGGUACCAGUGCCACCUACUGUCGUGAGUAUAAAUUGCAGCUGUGCAAUAGUCAAUUCUCAGAAUUCUUUUAAAACCUGCCCUCUCAUGGCAGGAACAGGUGUUCUAUAUUGCUUUCACUAUUUCCACUUACCUAAAUCUUACUCUGUGUUAAGAAUUACCGUGCUAAGAGCUUUACAUUGAUCUUCUUUACAUCGAUUUGUCACGACAGCUCUUAUCAGGCAGGUGGUAUUUUUAUCCCCAUUACGUAGAUGAACAGAAACAGGGCUCGAGAGUCACUAAAGAGCUUACCCAAGGUCAUAUAGGUGGCAAGUGGCAGAGCCGAGGGUAGAACUUGGGCUCUCUGAUCAGAAACCAACCUCAAGGCUGCUCUUCUGCCUUUGGAGGCUACGUUGCUGUGUCUUGAGAUCUCCCUUGUCGGGGGGUCUUACAGAAUAUGUUUCUAUCACUUCAGCCUCAGUUUAUCAUCGUCGGAAAAACUCACGCAGAGGAAUGAAUAUGCUAUCAUGAUAAAUAAUAUAUUUAUUAUAAAACAUUAUCAAACAUUAGGGCAAAGAAGAGGGUCUGCAGAGGGUUUGCGUGGCCUUUCCUAUUUUAUUCAUAAAGUAUUUUUAUGUUUAUUAUUUUUAUUUUGGGGGGGAUACAAGUGGAGGAGGAGCAGGGAGAGAGAAAGAGAGAGAGAGGGAGGGAGAGGGAGGGAGAGAGAGGGAGAGAGUAGAGAGAAAGAGAGAAUCUUGAGCAGGCUCCAUAGCCAGUGCAGAGCCCCGCAUGGGGCUUGAUCUCACAACUGUGAGAUCGCGACCUGAGCCAAAAUCAAGAGUCGGUCAUCCAGCCGACUGAGCUACCCACGCACCCUGGUCUUUCCUAUUUUAAGAAAAAAAUGUGAAUCAAGUUUCAGGCCUUUAUGUGCCUUUGUGCUAAUUUGCAUGCCUGAAAAUAUUUGCAUAUUUUCAGAUUACCACAAUUUGAAAAUAGGAAAUCCGAAAAUAGGAAGAUAAAUCAGAUUUUCCCUGAAAGUCACCCCCUCUGAGGCUAAGGAUUCCACAGCCAUUGUAGUUCUACAGGGGGACAAGAAUGGCUUAUUGGUCCUUAUUUUGCAUAGAAGGCUGUUAUCAGACCUUCAUUGGCUGUUGUAUGCAGAUGCUAAACGCUCCUCGCACUGUGUUCUAAUGAAUCCCAGGGUUUGUGCUAAGUGUAACGCAUUUUGGGUCCAAGCUUUGAAAACAUAAAACCGGGGCUGGAGCAAGAAGAAAAGUAUAGAAUAGAUGGAGUUCACUAGGGCAGAGGGGAAAAGUAGAGGGAGCCAGCAAAUCUAAUCUGGAGGAAGAGACAAAAUCAGGAGGGUGGACCCAGGUUCCAGUUCCAGGGAAAAGCAGAAGUUGGAGAGCCAGUCCCAGCUCACACCCAUGAGCCACACAAACAGCCCGAGUGUCGUGGAGUCAAGAUCAGUUGGAGGCCCGUGAUGGGAAACUCAUGACUGUGUGUUCUUAGGAGACCGUCUUCGAAAUCAAGAGUCAACACCAGAUACCAUUAGAGUCCAAUCAAUUCAACUGUAAAAAUAUUUAUGUGGUACCUUUGGCGUGAAAAGCACUCUGCCUUCAUGCACCUCCUCUCCUUGUCUUCUCUGUAGAUUUGCACCGGCAGCAUUUAAUGCAAUCCAGCUGCAAAGACUUAAAAACCUCAGUGGCUGAGUUCCAGUCUGAUUCAGCAUGGUGCACCGCAAAGCUAUGGCUUAGUUGCCUAGUUACGGCCUCGACUGGCACCUCUGAACUGUGCAGUGAUUCCUGGGUCAGCAUCCUACUUCUCGCCUGGAGAAACCUACUUCGUACAGUAUUACUUGCAAAUUUUUUUCUCUUUUUGGAAAUUGUGGUUAAAACAACACCUAACAUUAA